This 253-nucleotide ribosomal RNA is filed under the name uncultured bacterium. RNAcentral's name for it is "partial 16S ribosomal RNA". It matches the Rfam family "Bacterial small subunit ribosomal RNA", at positions 524 to 776 of the family's 1533-position model. The record is from RNAcentral.
UACGUAGGAGACAAACGUUAUCCGGAGUUACUGGGCGUAAAGGGCGUGUAGGUGGUUUCGUAAGUCUGGCGUGAAAUAUCUCGGCUUAACCGAGGCAGGUCGUCGGAUACUGCGGAACUAGAGGACGGUAGAGGCGUGUGGAAUUCCGGGUGUAGUGGUGAAAUGCGUAGAGAUCCGGAGGAACACCAGUGGCGAAGGCGACACGCUGGGCCGUACCUGACACUGAUGCGCGACAGCAUGGGGAGCAAACAGG